Eptesicus fuscus (big brown bat) is the source of this 317-nucleotide long non-coding RNA. RefSeq lists it as uncharacterized. The transcript has 3 exons. The record is from RefSeq and is a predicted model, not a curated record. Lineage: Eukaryota; Metazoa; Chordata; Mammalia; Chiroptera; Vespertilionidae.
GUUCCCUGCCCCAAGAGAAGUCUGGAGUGGGGUACAUGGGAAUGGCUGGGGUAAACCAUGUGUCCUGAGAGCCCAGUAGCUUUGCCAAAAGUCAGCCUCAUGCUACCAGAGGUCCAACCCCUGGUACCUCCGCCUGACCUCCCGGGGGUCCAGCACCCUACAAACCUUCGGUUCUGCAGCCUGCCUUGGGCCGUGGUGAUGGAGCCAAGAUUGGACAUAGAAAAGCAAAUGUCUGGGUCAGGUAUUGCUAAUAUGUCCAUUGUGAUCAGAAGUUCACCAAAGUGCUUCGCUGGAUGGAGAUUGGUUUCCCAGUGUCA